Molecule: long non-coding RNA, 438 nt
Organism: Ailuropoda melanoleuca (giant panda)
Lineage: Eukaryota; Metazoa; Chordata; Mammalia; Carnivora; Ursidae
Exons: 4
Source: RefSeq, a predicted model, not a curated record
CACGCCUGGCACCUGGUCAGUGCACGAGCACAUCUGCUGAGUAAAUACCUGAGCGUCGCAGGGGAAGCACGUGCGCUUCCCAGGGAAAGGUGGGCCAAGGGCAUGUGGGGAAACAGGGGAGUAGAUGUGACCAGCUAGAAGCCAAGCUCAGGCAACUCGUCCGGGGACGUCUCCGGUGUGCUCCACCUUCACUAUGGAUCCUGAGGAUUCAGCUAAAAUAAGGUCAGCAGAUCCACCAGAGUUGGACCCAGUGCUUACCGUAGCAGGAUUACGGAGUGUUUCAGGGCGUACGACGUUAUGGAGUCAGACUGUCUGGGUUCAAGAUACAGAUAUCCAGCCUUGUGACCUGGAAACCUAAUGCUUCAGCCCAGAUCUUAUGAUGGCUGACAAACAGAAUUCCUUCAACGCAGACCAGGCUUGGAAUCCAAUAGACUUUCU